RNAcentral lists this ribosomal RNA (1361 nucleotides) under uncultured bacterium. RNAcentral describes it as "bacterial SSU rRNA". It matches the Rfam family "Bacterial small subunit ribosomal RNA", at positions 28 to 1381 of the family's 1533-position model. The record is from RNAcentral.
GAUGAACGCUAGCUACAGGCUUAACACAUGCAAGUUCGAGGGGCAGCACGGUCUUAGCUUCGCUAAGGCCGAAGGCGACCGGCGCACGGGCGAGUAACACGUAUCCAACCUCGCCGUCUACUCUCGGACAGCCUUCUGAAAGGAAGAUUAAUACAAGAUGGCAUCAUGAGUCCGCAUGUUCACAUGAUUAAAGGUAUUCCGGUAGACGAUGGGGAUGCGUUCCAUUAGAUAGUAGGCGGGGUAACGGCCCACCUAGUCUUCGAUGGAUAGGGGUUCUGAGAGGAAGGUCCCCCACAUUGGAACUGAGACACGGUCCAAACUCCUACGGGAGGCAGCAGUGAGGAAUAUUGGUCAAUGGGCGAGAGCCUGAACCAGCCAAGUAGCGUGAAGGAUGACUGCCCUAUGGGUUGUAAACUUCUUUUAUAAAGGAAUAAAGUCGGGUAUGGAUACCCGUUUGCAUGUACUUUAUGAAUAAGGAUCGGCUAACUCCGUGCCAGCAGCCGCGGUAAUACGGAGGAUCCGAGCGUUAUCCGGAUUUAUUGGGUUUAAAGGGAGCGUAGAUGGAUGUUUAAGUCAGUUGUGAAAGUUUGCGGCUCAACCGUAAAAUUGCAGUUGAUACUGGAUAUCUUGAGUGCAGUUGAGGCAGGCGGAAUUCGUGGUGUAGCGGUGAAAUGCUUAAAUAUCACGAAGAACUCCGAUUGCGAAGGCAGCCUGCUAAGCUGCAACUGACAUUGAGGCUCGAAAGUGUGGGUAUCAAACAGGAUUAGAUACCCUGGUAGUCCACACGGUAAACGAUGAAUACUCGCUGUUUGCGAUAUACUGCAAGCGGCCAAGCGAAAGCGUUAAGUAUUCCACCUGGGGAGUACGCCGGCAACGGUGAAACUCAAAGGAAUUGACGGGGGCCCGCACAAGCGGAGGAACAUGUGGUUUAAUUCGAUGAUACGCGAGGAACCUUACCCGGGCUUAAAUUGCAGAUGAAUUACGGUGAAAGCCGUAAGCCGCAAGGCAUCUGUGAAGGUGCUGCAUGGUUGUCGUCAGCUCGUGCCGUGAGGUGUCGGCUUAAGUGCCAUAACGAGCGCAACCCUUGUUGUCAGUUACUAACAGGUUCCGCUGAGGACUCUGACAAGACUGCCAUCGUAAGAUGUGAGGAAGGUGGGGAUGACGUCAAAUCAGCACGGCCCUUACGUCCGGGGCUACACACGUGUUACAAUGGGGGGUACAGAGGGCCGCUACCACGCGAGUGGAUGCCAAUCCCCAAAACCUCUCUCAGUUCGGACUGGAGUCUGCAACCCGACUCCACGAAGCUGGAUUCGCUAGUAAUCGCGCAUCAGCCACGGCGCGGUGAAUACGUUCCCGGGCCU